CCUACGGGAGGCAGCAGUGAGGAAUAUUGGUCAAUGGACGAGAGUCUGAACCAGCCAAGUAGCGUGAAGGAUGACUGCCCUAUGGGUUGUAAACUUCUUUUAUAUGGGAAUAAAAUGUUCCACGUGUGGGAUUUUGUAUGUACCAUAUGUAUAAGGAUCGGCUAACUCCGUGCCAGCAGCCGCGGUAAUACGGAGGAUCCGAGCGUUAUCCGGAUUUAUUGGGUUUAAAGGGAGCGUAGGUGGAUUGUUAAGUCAGUUGUGAAAGUUUGCGGCUCAACCGUAAAAUUGCAGUUGAAACUGGCAGUCUUGAGUACAGUAGAGGUGGGCGGAAUUCGUGGUGUAGCGGUGAAAUGCUUAGAGAUCACGAAGAACUCCGAUUGCGAAGGCAGUUCACUGGACUGCAACUGACACUGAGGCUCGAAAGUGUGGGUAUCAAACAGGAUUAGAUACCCUUGUAGUC
This 460-nucleotide ribosomal RNA is filed under the name uncultured bacterium. RNAcentral's name for it is "partial 16S ribosomal RNA". It matches the Rfam family "Bacterial small subunit ribosomal RNA", at positions 338 to 795 of the family's 1533-position model. The record is from RNAcentral.